Long non-coding RNA from Etheostoma spectabile (orangethroat darter), 97 nucleotides. RefSeq lists it as uncharacterized. The transcript has 3 exons. The record is from RefSeq and is a predicted model, not a curated record. Lineage: Eukaryota; Metazoa; Chordata; Actinopteri; Perciformes; Percidae.
CAAACAGUACAUUAUUUGCCUGGGAAAACCCUGACGAACUUCCGGCAAAUUUGACAUUUGCUCUGGAAGUCCGUCUGGCCAAGAGCCCAUUUCCAAU